Molecule: long non-coding RNA, 2055 nt
Filed under: Podarcis lilfordi (Lilford's wall lizard)
Lineage: Eukaryota; Metazoa; Chordata; Lepidosauria; Squamata; Lacertidae
Source: RNAcentral
ACUUCCGGGGUGGCGCCUCCGGAAAAUGGCGGAAUUCCCUUCGGACUGAAGGGAACCCGCUGCACGGAGGCUUGGGUCCUGCCGCUACGGCGCAGCGGGGACCCGCAAAAACCACAGGCGGAAGAAGCCUGUGGACGUGGGACUCGGCGGGCACCGAGAGCGCUCUCCCCUUGUACAGGAGCCCGGCAACGGGCUCCGGAGUGGGAGGUGCGUGGUGCUGUGAGUCGACUGCUUCCUCCGUGCAGCAAAGCCGCACUGCCGUUAUCGGAGAGCGCUGCCUUUUUCCUGGACAAUUUGGCAUCUAAAAUAUCUAUCCGUGAGUACCUGAUCUUGGAAGAGUUGAACCACUUUUAAGACUGGUGAAUAAACAAAUAAUAUUGGACUUGAAAUUGAACUUAAUUGGGACUCGGAAUGGGAAGGUCUAAACAGGAAGUCGCCUUCCGUUCUUUUGUUAUGUGAAGAAAGCAAAGACAAAAUAUACUAAAGCUUGAAAAUUAAAUUCUAAGAGAACUAGAAUUCAACAUCUAAGAUUUCUGAACCCCCUUUGACUGCAGGAGAAGAAGGGGGUUGUAUUUGGACUUUUCAAUCCUGCGGAAGUGAGUUUAAAAUAAAGCAAUUUUCCACCGCCCUGAACCAGGAGCGGGCUGUCAGAAUUGACGUUCUGAAGUUUAUCCAGCUCGACAGUUAGUUAAAAGAAGGGUAACAUUUUGAUUCUACUGUUGCCUCUUGAAUUUGGAAGGGGGAAUUUUGGAUAAAGUGUUUCUGGAAAAAGAAAGAUUGUUGCUGUUGCUUUUAUUCCUUUAAAAAAAAAAAAUUUCCAUCUAGUGGAAUUUAGUGAAAUUGCAACGCAGAGAGAUUAAAAGAGAAGGACUAUUGGACUAUUGUCGUGGGAAAGAAUUUUCUUUGACCUUGAAGGACAAUGCUAGUACAAAGGCUUGAACAAUUGUUCCUGGAAGGUUUUUCAAAACUAAGUGCCCAGCUGGACCAGAUGCGUCAGGAGACGACCUUGAUGAUGGAAGUUACCAGAGCACAGCAGCAAACAAAUGAAAUUCAGUUAAAGGCUAUACAAGCAUAUGAACCUGCUGUAGUGACGGAGGCUUCAGAGAUGGAGGGACCUUUGGACGGGCAAGAUCAGCCUUUGAACUUGAUAAAUGAACUUGGGACAAACCAGAUUCGGAAAGAUGAAAUGUGGUCAGAUUUGGAAAUGGGGGAUGGAUCGACCCCCUCCAUAUGGUUAUUUGGACCUUCCGAGUCUGGUGAUGGGCUAUCAGAGGAUUGGAGUAGCCGAAGUCUCCAAGCUUUGUGGAAAUUUGAAGUGGUAUUAUUUGCUGUCUGGCUUGGGCAAUGGGUUUGGGAUGGACUUGCUGCAAAGGGUCAAAAGCAUUUUCUUGCUGGAGCAUCCACGACUGGAAAGGAAUCAUCAACAAGAGUGGCGAAAGGGGCAAGAAAGAGACUUGAGGGCCUCGGAUACGAGACAACCAGGUUAAGGAGCCGGAUUAUCGAGGUUAAAAGGACUGACAAUCCCGGGUCCAGGGGAGGGGAGGUUGGAAGCUGACUGGACUGAAUUUGACUUAUUAUUUUUUCUUUUUAUUUUUUAAUAUUGGGAAUGCUUACAAAUGUUUGAAGGAUGUUGAAUGAAAUUACAUGGCUUAAGUAAGGAUUGGUAAAUGAUUCGUAAAAAGGUAAUGAUGCAAGAAUUUGGUAAAUAUUGAAUAUAAGCUAUGAGUUUUAAAGUUUUUAUAUGACAAGAGGGAAAAUAGAAUAAGGAAACGUAAUGACAGAUUGUUAUGAAAAACAGAAAGGAUUUGCUGUAAAAAUUAAAAAUUAAGAAACAAAAGAGGGGAGGAGGAGGAAGUCUAGAAAGGAAGUCAAUAGAGAUUGUAAAGGACUUUAUAUUUUUGUUUUUCUGUUUCUCUUUUUUUUUCUUUGCGGCUGGGUUUUCUUUUCUUUUUUGUUUAUGUACUAUUUUUGUUUUUUGUAUCCUCAAAUUUUUUUUUGGAAAUUUUUGUUGUUAUUCUUUGAAAAUUUAAUAAAUAUCAAUUAUAAAAAAAAAAA